GAGCGGCGGGGAGGGGCGGUGGGGAGGGAGGCCGCCGGGCCGGGAGGAGGGACCAGGGCGCUUGGCUCCAGCGGUGCGGCCCCAACCUCACUCCGACCACGGCCACACCUGGCAGCGCCUGCACCAACUUUAUCUCCCUCGGCCUGCCUUUCACACUUUGUCAUAUAUGCAGUCUAUUUGGAGCCUCCUCGGUUAUGGAUAUUCCUUUCUUAAUGGAUACACAUCUAUUAAUUACACAUACUUCCCUGUGGUGAGCCCUCAGGGAGUUAACCAGGCCCCUCCCUCGGGGACAUUUGCACUUGCCACCUGUCUAGAUGUGACAUUGUCAUUCAUAGGGACCCAGCAAAGGUAAUUGUGUUCACCUUAUUCUUUAUACCUUCUCUUUUUAAAAAAAGUCCAUAAUCUCUGGAGGUUUGUACUAAUUGAUUUUAAUGAAGCUUCCCUCUAGGCCAGAAGAAAAUCUUAGCUUUAUUUAAAUUUCAAAAUAGAGUGCUUGGUUGUCAAGUGCAUUUGCCUGUGUUUUACACAUGUACCACGUUUGUUCUACUCUGCUCCUUUUGGGAAAACAAAAACUAAAAUAAUUUUAUUAUCCCAAAUUAUGGCACUCCAUUGCACCCACUACCCUGUCUCAAGUCUGGUAAUUAAGCCAUGUGUGUGUGUUUCUGCUGCAGAAGAAAGAACAGUGCUUGGUUUAGGCUAGAAGGAGGAGAAAUACAGUCAAGGGACAUAUUUACUCUUCAUUUAAAUGAGAAGUCAGUCAAUCAAGACUAUACCAUCCUGUGAGCAUUUAAAACAUAAUGUUGUCCGGUAAAGCACACUUAUGUUGAGUUUUUCAACAUUUUGCUAAAAAUCGAUUUCCUUCUUGUUCCCAUUCCCACACUCAGUUUCAGUCAUAGUUUUACCUGCAAAAUGUGUCCUCCAAUAGCUUUUUUUCCAAGUACCUAAGAAACAUUGUAUAUUAUCAGCAGUUUAUGACCCAAUAGUGCAUAUUUUUUAUUAACACAUGUGCCCUGAAAUGGGCAGUUUUCCUUAGGACAAAUUUCACUUACCCUCUGGUACAGAUACAUAGAGAAAUAGUACUUCCUUUUCCAUGAGCUAUAUGCAUCUCAGGUGUUAUUUCUAAUAAUUGUUAAGGUUUUUCAUGUAACUGUAAAUAAAGACAUACAGUAUUUCUGCCACUGUAAAAAAUUUACAAUCUGUCACAGGAAUUGGAGCUGAAUUCCCUCAUCCAUGGCAUUUUCUGGCCCUUCUCUUCUAUCUUCCCUCUCAGGAGGUGACAAACUUGUUAAGAUGAGAAUUGGGUUGGGUGAAGCUAGGACAGUGUGUUGUUAAAGUUCACUUUGGUGCCAGGAAUGAUUUCCUGGGCCCAAGUGAGAAUGGCUGCAGUGCGCAGGUGGACCUGAUCAUGAGCCAGGGACCAACUUGGCUGGUACCUGAAGCCAAAGCCAGACAAGGGUCUAAAGAACAGGAGUUAGAAUUCUAGAUCUUGAGUUAGAAUUUUGGCAGCUGUGCAGUGCCUUCAGCUGCCCAGUCUGGGAGGCCUGCAGCUGAGAGCAGGCAGAAUAUCUGGCAGACUCACACCACACCCAGAUGCAAUACAAAAACUUCAGCCAAAAAUGGUGACAAAACAGCCUCCCAUGGAGUUGAAUGCUGGGCACCUCCACCCUGCAGCAUCUGAGGAGCACCCAGAACUUUGAAGAAGUGGCACCUCUGUCCUCUGGAGGAAAAACUGUCUAUGUGGAAUUAAUAAUUUCAGAAAGAAAGUGGAGAGUCUCCAAGUUGCUCAGUCAAGAGAGCUCAGAGAUGGAAAGCGCCAGAAAUGUGCAGGUUCACAGCUGAUAGAGAGGACUUUUCAGGAGGGAGGCAUCAACAAGGCCUGCACUGUUAUGGGAGAAGGAAUGCUGGAUGGGACCCUAGCGUGGGAUAAAGCCGUGUCGCUAAGUUGAUAUUUUUGCCAGGGGAAACAACGUGUCCAAAUUAAAACUAAUUCUCCCCAGCCUUUCUCUGGGAUACAGGCAGCAAUUGUGAUUAAGUUCUUCUCAUUGAAAUGUAAGUGAAAGUUGCUCAAUGUGGCUCCUGGGAAAACUUCCUGAAAGACAUACUGACUCAACUGCUGGGCACCACUUUCACUUGGCCCUUCUUCCUUUCUGUUUCUGAGCACUGUGUGACAACUGGAACUAUGGUAGCUGUUUCUUGAACAGGAGGAUGAAGGCCAUAUUUUCAGUGAUGUCCUAGAACAGUCGUAUCAACCCUGGACCACUUGCCUCUGGAUUCUCAUUCUAUGAGAGAGAAAUAAACUGUAUUUAAAUCACUGCCUCUCAGGUUUCUAUUGCUCAUAGUUGAGUGCAGUUCUGAUAGUCUAAAUAUUCAUUCAGGGUUAUUCUCCAUUCAGUUUGUUCAACAUUUUAUCAUUGGCUUUGAACAGAAGCCUGUGCAACAGAGAUGUGCAAAACUCAUUCAAGUUCCCUGACCUACAUCACAAAGGACUCAGCUUUACAGGGUCCCCCAGCUGAAUUAAACCACUGUGGAACCGGGACUGGGCGGCAGGUCAAGUCCUUCAACUCUAGCACAGUGUCGGGAAGUGCACAGGUGGGAUUGAAGGCAGAGCCCUGGGAUCAUUGCAACAGUGCCCACCUGUUGCCACAGCUGGAAGGAGAGACUCGUGAUAGGAUGGAACAAGUAUCGGUGGAACUUCCUCUUGCCUUUGACACUAGAGUCUCACAGACCUCCCUGUUGAGUUCAUCAAAUGCUCAAAUCUGCCUGUCAAGAUCUCUUAGCAGGUAUUAAACAUUCUGUGGACACAUGAACACUUCUCACUGCCUUUUCUGCCUGCCCUUGGCCUUGGAAUGGUUCAGCUUCCAACACCACUACUGCAAACAUAACUGCCACUGUCAAGGGAGCAGGACAAAAGCUCACUGUGGCAGACGUCAUUCCCAUUCCAUCUCUACCUCCACUUCCUUUUCCCUUUUUUAUUAUAUUCUUCCAAAUCAUUUGAUUAAUAAAGUGUUUACCAAUAGAUUAUGUUUGUGGAAUCUAAAACAGGUCAACUGUGUCCUGAAACAUAUUUGUAGAGGCAGGCACAGUGCCACUGAGCUAAAUCCAUGGCCCUCUGAAAUGUUUGUAAAGUUGUUACUUAACAUUUAAAUCACUUGAUUCUUCUCAGCCUCAGUUCAUUAUCUGUAAGAUGGGAAUAAAUAAUGAUGUCAUUAUACCACAGUCAUUAUCAUCACUGUAACCAUAACUACCAUUUUCCCCAUUUACUGUAGGAAGUCUAUGGAUUAGUGGUUAAGCACACAGCCUGUUAUGCCAAAUUACCUCUGUUACCAAAUCCCUGGAUAGCCAUGGCAAUUGGCUGAAAUGCUUUAUACAGGGGACCCUUGACUUACGAACUCAAUUCAUUCUCAAGGGCCAGUUGUAACUCAAAUCAGUCACUUGAAGGCUCAGGCUCUUGUACACACCCUUCAAAGUCUCUCUCCUGUAUACAGGCAGAUCUCAGUGUCCUUAGACAUUGGCCCAGGAUUUCUUGAUUAACCCCACAGAAGAAAGGAAGUUGUAAUGUUCCUUCCAGAACUCCUUAAGGGUUAAAUCUGUAUCUGAGACCAUCUAGAAGCACAAGCAGCUGGCAUUCUGCUUGUAACUCAAUACUUUGUUCAAAAGUUAAAACUAAAAUUCUGUUCGUAACCCAAAUUGUUAGUAUAGCAGGCUGCUCAUAAUUUAAGGGUCCACUGUAACUCUAUUUCUCCACCUAUAAAAUGAGAACAAUAAUGAACCCAUCAUACAGGGCUGUUGUGGAAAUUAAGGAAACAAAUCAGUGCCACAGCCAUUAGAAAAGGCCAUAACAAGUAAGAUAGUGCCAGGCAGGAGAACAGGCUGUAUUAACCCUCCCCAUAGAGACAGGAGCCAUUAUCAGUUUUCAUUUUACCGAUAAGUAAACUGAGCCUUAGAAGAAUGAAGUGGUUUAGAUGUUAAACAAUUGUGCUUUCACAUGUUUUUGAUGACCUAUAGGCUUCUCUCCUUUUCUUUCUUGUUUUGAGAAACCCUGUAUUCCAUGGAUCAGGAGCCAUCACUGGUUGUGAUUUGGACCUUAAAUGUCUACACAAACCAUGUGUUGAGGGCUUGCUCCCCAGCCUGUGGUGCUAUUAGUAAGUGGUGGAAUUUUAGGAGGUAGAGCCAGGAGGAAAGAAGUUAGGUCAUUAGCAGCAUGCUCAGGAAGGGGAUGUUGGGACCCUCAUCUCUGCCUCUCUUAUGCUCUCUCCUUGCUUUCCAGCUGGCAUGAGGUGAACAUUUCUCUUCUAUCACACACUGCCACCAUGAUGUUCUGCCUUGCCACAAGUCCAAAGGCAACAGUGGACUAAAUCUCUCAAACCAUGAGCCAAAAUGAACUUUGCCUCCUCUUAAAUUGAUUUUCUGAGGUAUUUUAUCACAGCAACAGAAAGCUGAUGAACGUAUCACCCACACUUCCCAAAUCAAUGUUGGGCUUUACCACUUGUCUCUCCAUCUCUGAAACCUAAGCUGAAGCUACCUUCUUUCACCUUCUCCCAGUGCUAACUCCCAACAUCCCUGCUGCAGUUAGGCUCCUCCCCCAUCCUGGGCCACAUGGGGUCAGGGUC
Heterocephalus glaber (naked mole-rat) is the source of this 4610-nucleotide non-coding RNA. The record is from RefSeq and is a predicted model, not a curated record. NCBI's taxonomy places the organism in Eukaryota, Metazoa, Chordata, Mammalia, Rodentia, Bathyergidae.